GAUGAACGCUGACAGAAUGCUUAACACAUGCAAGUCAACUUGAAUUUGGGUUUUUAACUUAGGUUUGGGUGGCGGACGGGUGAGUAACGCGUAAAGAACUUGCCUCACAGCUAGGGACAACAUUUGGAAACGAAUGCUAAUACCUAAUAUUAUGAUAAUAGGGCAUCCUAUAAUUAUGAAAGCUAUAAGCGCUGUGAGAGGGCUUUGCGUCCCAUUAGCUAGUUGGAGAGGUAACGGCUCACCAAGGCGAUGAUGGGUAGCCGGCCUGAGAGGGUGAUCGGCCACAAGGGGACUGAGACACGGCCCUUACCCCUACGGGAGGCAGCAGUGGGGAAUAUUGGACAAUGGACCGAGAGUCUGAUCCAGCAAUUCUGUGUGCACGAUGAAGUUUUUCGGAAUGUAAAGUGCUUUCAGUUGGGAAGAAACAAAUGACGGUACCAACAGAAGAAGUGACGGCUAAAUACGUG
This 467-nucleotide ribosomal RNA is filed under the name uncultured bacterium. RNAcentral's name for it is "partial 16S ribosomal RNA". It matches the Rfam family "Bacterial small subunit ribosomal RNA", at positions 28 to 507 of the family's 1533-position model. The record is from RNAcentral.